Molecule: ribosomal RNA, 500 nt
Filed under: uncultured bacterium
Lineage: Bacteria
Description: partial 16S ribosomal RNA
Rfam family: Bacterial small subunit ribosomal RNA
Source: RNAcentral
AUUGAACGCUGGCGGAACGCUUUACACAUGCAAGUCGAACGGCAGCACGGACUUCGGUCUGGUGGCGAGUGGCGAACGGGUGAGUAAUACAUCGGAACGUGCCCAGUCGUGGGGGAUAACGUAGCGAAAGCUACGCUAAUACCGCAUACGAUCUAAGGAUGAAAGCGGGGGAUCGCAAGACCUCGCGCGAUUGGAGCGGCCGAUGGCAGAUUAGGUAGUUGGUAGGGUAAAGGCCUACCAAGCCGACGAUCUGUAGCUGGUCUGAGAGGAUGAUCAGCCACACUGGGACUGAGACACGGCCCAGACUCCUACGGGAGGCAGCAGUGGGGAAUUUUGGACAAUGGGCGCAAGCCUGAUCCAGCCAUUCCGCGUGCAGGAUGAAGGCCUUCGGGUUGUAAACUGCUUUUGUACAGAACGAAAAGGCUCUGGUUAAUACCCGGGGCUCAUGACGGUACUGUAAGAAUAAGCACCGGCCAACUACGUGCCAGCCGCCGCAGUAA